This 1554-nucleotide ribosomal RNA is filed under the name Escherichia coli. RNAcentral's name for it is "bacterial SSU rRNA". It matches the Rfam family "Bacterial small subunit ribosomal RNA". The record is from RNAcentral. Lineage: Bacteria; Pseudomonadati; Pseudomonadota; Gammaproteobacteria; Enterobacterales; Enterobacteriaceae. RNAcentral also lists the same sequence under 1 other name.
AAAUUGAAGAGUUUGAUCAUGGCUCAGAUUGAACGCUGGCGGCAGGCCUAACACAUGCAAGUCGAACGGUAACAGGAAACAGCUUGCUGUUUCGCUGACGAGUGGCGGACGGGUGAGUAAUGUCUGGGAAACUGCCUGAUGGAGGGGGAUAACUACUGGAAACGGUAGCUAAUACCGCAUAAUGUCGCAAGACCAAAGAGGGGGACCUUCGGGCCUCUUGCCAUCGGAUGUGCCCAGAUGGGAUUAGCUAGUAGGUGGGGUAACGGCUCACCUAGGCGACGAUCCCUAGCUGGUCUGAGAGGAUGACCAGCCACACUGGAACUGAGACACGGUCCAGACUCCUACGGGAGGCAGCAGUGGGGAAUAUUGCACAAUGGGCGCAAGCCUGAUGCAGCCAUGCCGCGUGUAUGAAGAAGGCCUUCGGGUUGUAAAGUACUUUCAGCGGGGAGGAAGGGAGUAAAGUUAAUACCUUUGCUCAUUGACGUUACCCGCAGAAGAAGCACCGGCUAACUCCGUGCCAGCAGCCGCGGUAAUACGGAGGGUGCAAGCGUUAAUCGGAAUUACUGGGCGUAAAGCGCACGCAGGCGGUUUGUUAAGUCAGAUGUGAAAUCCCCGGGCUCAACCUGGGAACUGCAUCUGAUACUGGCAAGCUUGAGUCUCGUAGAGGGGGGUAGAAUUCCAGGUGUAGCGGUGAAAUGCGUAGAGAUCUGGAGGAAUACCGGUGGCGAAGGCGGCCCCCUGGACGAAGACUGACGCUCAGGUGCGAAAGCGUGGGGAGCAAACAGGAUUAGAUACCCUGGUAGUCCACGCCGUAAACGAUGUCGACUUGGAGGUUGUGCCCUUGAGGCGUGGCUUCCGGAGCUAACGCGUUAAGUCGACCGCCUGGGGAGUACGGCCGCAAGGUUAAAACUCAAAUGAAUUGACGGGGGCCCGCACAAGCGGUGGAGCAUGUGGUUUAAUUCGAUGCAACGCGAAGAACCUUACCUGGUCUUGACAUCCACGGAAGUUUUCAGAGAUGAGAAUGUGCCUUCGGGAACCGUGAGACAGGUGCUGCAUGGCUGUCGUCAGCUCGUGUUGUGAAAUGUUGGGUUAAGUCCCGCAACGAGCGCAACCCUUAUCCUUUGUUGCCAGCGGUCCGGCCGGGAACUCAAAGGAGACUGCCAGUGAUAAACUGGAGGAAGGUGGGGAUGACGUCAAGUCAUCAUGGCCCUUACGACCAGGGCUACACACGUGCUACAAUGGCGCAUACAAAGAGAAGCGACCUCGCGAGAGCAAGCGGACCUCAUAAAGUGCGUCGUAGUCCGGAUUGGAGUCUGCAACUCGACUCCAUGAAGUCGGAAUCGCUAGUAAUCGUGGAUCAGAAUGCCACGGUGAAUACGUUCCCGGGCCUUGUACACACCGCCCGUCACACCAUGGGAGUGGGUUGCAAAAGAAGUAGGUAGCUUAACCUUCGGGAGGGCGCUUACCACUUUGUGAUUCAUGACUGGGGUGAAGUCGUAACAAGGUAACCGUAGGGGAACCUGCGGUUGGAUCACCUCCUUACCUUAAAGAAGC